GGGGUUGUGGCUCAGCGGUAGAGUGCUCUCCUAGCACGUCUGAGGCCCUGGGUUCGAUCCUCAGCACCACA
RNAcentral lists this transfer RNA (71 nucleotides) under Marmota monax (woodchuck). RNAcentral's name for it is "tRNA.Ala". The record is from RNAcentral. Lineage: Eukaryota; Metazoa; Chordata; Mammalia; Rodentia; Sciuridae.